GGACAUGAAGAUGAUCUGGCUACAACAUCUAUCACCUCAUUGAUUUCCAGGGUUGAUUCAACAGAUCUGUUGGCUAGGCAGGCGUUCCCCUCCACUCUCACCCCUCCAUGUGUGUUCCUCUGGAAGCUGUACACUGUCGAAGAGGAUGUCCUUCCUAGAAUAGAGGAGGGCCAGUGUUUGGUCAAGGGUAUACUAGAAGCUGUGCUCCCCUGAUAGAACCACCAAACAGGCUCUCAAAGUCUGUAUCCAAUAGGAUUGAUAGCCUUGUAAAAAAGAGAGAGGGAAAGAUAAUUUAUUUUCCCCUAUACU
Molecule: small nuclear RNA, 309 nt
Filed under: Microtus ochrogaster (prairie vole)
Lineage: Eukaryota; Metazoa; Chordata; Mammalia; Rodentia; Cricetidae
Description: 7SK RNA (ENSMOCG00000005770.1)
Rfam family: 7SK RNA
About the family: 7SK was discovered as an abundant small nuclear RNA in the mid-70s but a possible function has only recently been suggested. Two independent studies have found that 7SK RNA binds the CDK9/cyclin T complex (known as elongation factor P-TEFb).
Source: RNAcentral